UGGCCUUUGUCAGGGUUUACACAUCAGC
Molecule: non-coding RNA, 28 nt
Filed under: Mus musculus (house mouse)
Lineage: Eukaryota; Metazoa; Chordata; Mammalia; Rodentia; Muridae
Source: RNAcentral